This 217-nucleotide unclassified non-coding RNA is filed under the name Glomeraceae sp. RNAcentral describes it as "partial contains 5.8S ribosomal RNA and internal transcribed spacer 2". The stretch from base 1 to 65 matches the Rfam family "5.8S ribosomal RNA", at positions 84 to 154 of the family's 154-position model. Lineage: Eukaryota; Fungi; Glomeromycota; Glomeromycetes; Glomerales; Glomeraceae. The record is from RNAcentral.
GUGAAUCAUCGAAUUUUUGAACGCAAAUUGCACUCUCUUCGGUGAGUAUGCGUGUUUGAGGGUGAGCCUAUAAAAAUCGACAUCGUCGCUGUUUCGCGGAGGCGUUCGUCUGACAUUGGGUCAUCUUAAAUCCUUUUGAUUUUAGCGACUUAUAAUAUUCUUCUUGUUUCGAUGAACUUUUCUAAGAUUUAUUUCUUUAAAUGUUUAAUGCAUCGUU